UUCAGGACUGGCUGCAAAGUCCUCCUCUGAGACAGGAGGAUUGCUUGAGUCCAGGAGUUCUGGGUUGUAUUGCGCUAUGCCGACCAUAUAGCCGACCAAGAUGUCUGCACUAAGUUUGGCAUCAAUAUGGUGACCUCCCAGGAGUAGGGGACCACCCGGUUGCCUAAGGAGGGAUGCACCGGCCCAGGUUGGAAUUGGAACAGGUAAAAACUCCCGUGAUCAUCAGUAUAGCUGGAUCUUGAGGAAGCACUAUUCCUAAUUGUCUGAGAAAGCACCAGAUUGAUUACCAAAGUGGUU
Molecule: signal recognition particle RNA, 297 nt
Filed under: Meriones unguiculatus (Mongolian gerbil)
Lineage: Eukaryota; Metazoa; Chordata; Mammalia; Rodentia; Muridae
Description: Metazoan signal recognition particle RNA (ENSMUGG00000012046.1)
Rfam family: Metazoan signal recognition particle RNA (bases 92-243)
About the family: The signal recognition particle (SRP) is a universally conserved ribonucleoprotein. It is involved in the co-translational targeting of proteins to membranes.
Source: RNAcentral